RNAcentral lists this long non-coding RNA (425 nucleotides) under Ananas comosus (pineapple). RNAcentral's name for it is "long non-coding RNA (ACOM_LNC033427)". The record is from RNAcentral. Lineage: Eukaryota; Viridiplantae; Streptophyta; Magnoliopsida; Poales; Bromeliaceae.
AUUUUUCAGGUGAUACGGGUGGUGAGGAUUGCGAUGAGGCGUGAGACACGUUAGUAUCGAUAGAUAGAGCUUCCGACCCGGUUGAAUUGGUUUAGUUUCUCUCCUUGCUUAUUCAAAAUAAAUGACUUAGACAUUUAUGGUUCAGUGGUUUUAUUUCGGUUGAGUGUUUAUGGAUUUAUAAAGUUAAACAUUGUGACUUUUAUAACAGUUUGUGAGUUGUGAAAAUGGUUUUCUACCCCUCGUGGUAGUGUCUUUAAAGAAAAGAUUUCCGAGUGGAAAACAGUUUUAAAAGGGUUUUCUCGUGAAAAUGUAAUAGUAUGUUGUGUAGUGAAUGAUUGUGAUUGUACUUAUGCUUGCGUGACGCCGUACAAAUAUAGGGGAGGAUUUGUCCGUGUAAACAGUGGAUCUCCUGUAUUUGUGGCGGU